This is a long non-coding RNA of Etheostoma cragini (Arkansas darter), 151 nucleotides long. RefSeq lists it as uncharacterized. Lineage: Eukaryota; Metazoa; Chordata; Actinopteri; Perciformes; Percidae. The transcript has 3 exons. The record is from RefSeq and is a predicted model, not a curated record.
ACUCUUGCCUAAACUCUAAGUUGUUGUGCAUGAUCCCAUCCUCUAUCAGUCUGAUUCUGAUUUUUACUUGUCUGGAGACAGACACUUUAAAAUUAAAAUCCACACAUUUAAAAAAAUUUCGUUAAAUAUGAAUGACAACUGGCACAAAUCA